Molecule: long non-coding RNA, 1738 nt
Filed under: Salmo salar (Atlantic salmon)
Lineage: Eukaryota; Metazoa; Chordata; Actinopteri; Salmoniformes; Salmonidae
Description: lncRNA (ENSSSAG00000087412.1)
Source: RNAcentral
UGCAGAACUAAAUAUAAACUAUAAAAUAUAAAUGCAAGUUUCAAGGAUUUUAGAUGAGUUGAGGUAAUCAGUCAAUUGAAAUAAAUUAUUUAGGCCCUAAUCUAUGGAUUAGGGCCCACCCACUUGGAUUUAGGCCUACCCACUUGGGAACCAGGCCCAGCCAAUAAGAAUUAGUUUUUCCCUCCCAAAAAGGGCUUUAUUACAGACAGAAAUACUCGACAGUUUCAUCAGCUGCCCGGUUGGCUGGUCUCAGAUGAUCCCGCAGGUGAAGAAGCCGGAAGUCGAGGUCUUGGGUUGGUGUGGUUACAUGUGGUCUGCGGUUAUGAAUCCGGUUGGACAUACUUCCAAAUUCUCGAGACCCGUAAUCAUCCACAAUGGCAAAACAACAAGGCACAGGUACUCACACAACCAACGGACAUUGUAACAAUAAUCGACAGGACAAUGGGGAACAAAGGGCACACGUAUACAAUUACUAAUCAAAUGGGAAUAGGGACCAUGUGUGCGUAAUGACAGUUCCGGAGGGAUCCGUGACAGCUACAUGUUUUAAAGUGGCCUUUUAUUGUCCCCAGCACAAGGUACACCUGUGUAAUGAUCAUGCUGUUUAAUUACUUUCUUGAUAUGCCACACCUGUCAGGUGGAUAGAUUAUCUCGGCAAAGGAGAAAUGCUCACUAACAGGGAUGUAAACACAUUUGUGCACAAAAUACGUUUUUUGUACGUAUGUAACAUUUCUGGGACACUUUACAUGUUGCGUUUAUAUUUUUGUUCAGUAUAGAAAGAAAAUAGAAAAAUAACAUUUGCGAGACAAGGUGAAGAAAGGAGAGAUGAGAUGAGGGAAGGAGAGAUAAGGAGAGAUAAGGUGAGGGAAGGAGAGAUAAGGUGAGGGAAGGAGAGAGAAGGUGAGGGAAGGAGAGAUAAGGAGAGAUAAGGUGAGGGAAGGAGAGAUAAGGUGAGGGAAGGAGAGAGAAGGUGAGGGAAGGAGAGAUAAGGAGAGAUAAGGUGAGGGAAGGAGAGAUAAGGUGAGGGAAGGAGAGAGAAGGUGAGGGAAGGAGAGAUAAGGAAAGGGAAGGAACUCUACACCUACCCCACUGGGCACGCACGGGUUUAAUAAACAUUGGUUCAACGUCAUUUGUCAACCUAUUUUGAUGUGGAAUCAACGUGGACAACACAUUUGGAUUCACAAAAAGUAAUCAACCAGCAUUGUAACCAUUGACAUUUGGGUAAAAUUUCAACUAAAAUAGAAUGACUUCUUAAACAGAUCAGAGACCAGGCUACAAUCUUGCAUCUUUAGAGCAAAGAGCUUCUUCAAAAAGAAACUCAACAUUGCUCUUAUGGUCUUAGCUGAAACAGACAACAAAAGGACAACCGUUGGAAGAACUAGGAACAAUCUACUCCUACUGUAAUUUGUAACUCUAUGCAUUCUGUGUGUUCAACUCCUCCGUGAAAGAACCAAUAGAGAUGAUGUAAACUAAAGAAAGCAUUGUUCAACUUUUUUCUCCUCUGUAGUCAACUGUAAAUAAAUUCAAUAAAAUAGUUUUUUUUUCCUGUAUUUCCAUUGUGUGGGUCUUUGUUGUCAGUAAUAUAUUAAUAUAUGAAGAAUAUAUAGUUAUCUUUUUAAGAAACUAGAGCCUUAGUGUGGAUUAGCCAUUGAGAUGUAUUAGAAUGGUAAACAUAAAAAAACACAGUUUUAACCUAUGUGCUUUAUUACAUAUUUACAUGUAUGGCGUAUUUAUUACAGAG